RNAcentral lists this transfer RNA (82 nucleotides) under Dermacentor silvarum. RNAcentral describes it as "transfer RNA leucine (anticodon UAA)". It matches the Rfam family "tRNA". Rfam says of the family: Transfer RNA (tRNA) molecules are approximately 80 nucleotides in length. Their secondary structure includes four short double-helical elements and three loops (D, anti-codon, and T loops). Lineage: Eukaryota; Metazoa; Arthropoda; Arachnida; Ixodida; Ixodidae. The record is from RNAcentral.
GCAGCCGUGGCCGAGUGGUUAACGCAAUGGACUUAAAAUCCAUUGGGUUGUACCCGCAUAGGUUCGAAUCCUGCCGACUGCG